RNAcentral lists this ribosomal RNA (322 nucleotides) under uncultured eukaryote. RNAcentral's name for it is "partial 18S ribosomal RNA". It matches the Rfam family "Eukaryotic small subunit ribosomal RNA", at positions 1470 to 1796 of the family's 1831-position model. The record is from RNAcentral.
CCCUUAGAUGUCCUGGGCCGCACGCGCGCUACACUGAACGGAUCAGCGCGUUUUCCCUUCCCGAGAGGGACGGGUAACCUGCUGAACCCCGUUCGUGGUAGGGAUCGGGGCUUGCAAUUAUUCCCCGUGAACCAGGAAUGCCCAGUAAGUGCAAGUCAUAAGCUUGCGUUGAUUACGUCCCUGCCCUUUGUACACACCGCCCGUCGCACCUACCGAUUGAAUGGUCCGGUGAAAUCUCCGGACUGGCGUGAGUCGGAGCAAUCUGACAAACACCGGAAAGUUGAUUAAACCUUACCAUUUAGAGGAAGGUGAAGUCGUAACA